CCUACGGGAGGCAGCAGUGGGGGAUAUUGCACAAUGGGGGAAACCCUGAUGCAGCGACGCCGCGUGUGGGAAGACGGUCCUCUGGAUUGUAAACCACUGUCCCCAGGGACGAAGAUGACGGUACCUUGGGAGGAAGCUCCGGCUAACUACGUGCCAGCAGCCGCGGUAAUACGUAGGGAGCGAGGGUUGUCGGGAAUUACUGGGUGUAAAGGGAGCGUAGGCGGGGAUGCACGUUGGGGGGAAAAACUACCGGCUCAACUGGGAGUCGCACUCAAAACUGCAGGUAUUGAGUGAAGUAGAGGCGGGCGGAAUUCCUGGUGUAGCGGUGAAAUGCGUAGAUAUUAGGAAGAACACCAGUGGCGAAGGCGGCCUGCUGGGCUUUUACUGACGCUGAGGCUCGAAAGUGUGGGGAGCAAACAGGAUUAGAUACCCUAGUAGUC
RNAcentral lists this ribosomal RNA (440 nucleotides) under uncultured bacterium. RNAcentral's name for it is "partial 16S ribosomal RNA". It matches the Rfam family "Bacterial small subunit ribosomal RNA", at positions 338 to 795 of the family's 1533-position model. The record is from RNAcentral.